RNAcentral lists this ribosomal RNA (524 nucleotides) under bacterium enrichment culture clone Jdg013. RNAcentral's name for it is "bacterial SSU rRNA". It matches the Rfam family "Bacterial small subunit ribosomal RNA", at positions 15 to 528 of the family's 1533-position model. The record is from RNAcentral.
GAUCAUGGCUCAGAUUGAACGCUGGCGGCAGGCCUAACACAUGCAAGUCGAACGGUAACAGGAAUCAGCUUGCUGAUUCGCUGACGAGUGGCGGACGGGUGAGUAAUGUCUGGGAAACUGCCUGAUGGAGGGGGAUAACUACUGGAAACGGUAGCUAAUACCGCAUAACGUCGCAAGACCAAAGAGGGGGACCUUCGGGCCUCUUGCCAUCGGAUGUGCCCAGAUGGGAUUAGCUAGUAGGUGGGGUAACGGCUCACCUAGGCGACGAUCCCUAGCUGGUCUGAGAGGAUGACCAGCCACACUGGAACUGAGACACGGUCCAGACUCCUACGGGAGGCAGCAGUGGGGAAUAUUGCACAAUGGGCGCAAGCCUGAUGCAGCCAUGCCGCGUGUAUGAAGAAGGCCUUCGGGUUGUAAAGUACUUUCAGCGGGGAGGAAGGGAGUAAAGUUAAUACCUUUGCUCAUUGACGUUACCCGCAGAAGAAGCACCGGCUAACUCCGUGCCAGCAGCCGCGGUAAUACAA